Molecule: RNA transcript, 2606 nt
Organism: Ceratitis capitata (Mediterranean fruit fly)
Lineage: Eukaryota; Metazoa; Arthropoda; Insecta; Diptera; Tephritidae
Exons: 5
Source: RefSeq, a predicted model, not a curated record
UACAUACUAUGUAGUUACCUCAAUGGCGGGGACGUGAUGACGGUGCCACUCGUUGUGUCUGGUGUGACUGUGUGGAGUUUUGUGCUUUAUUCCGUUGGCGUGUGAUAAAAAUACGUUAGUAAUCAAUUGCAAGCCCAACUGCCAAGACACGGAGUUAAGACGCGCCUUCGCCGUUGUCGUCGCCGUUUUUAGAAUCGUUAAUUAAGUCGUUUUUGAAAAUACUCAGAAAAGUCAGAGAAAGAAAAAGAUAUUAAAAAAAAUAAUAUAAGCGAAAAAUUAUUAAUUAAAUUCUACGCGUUUAUGGAAAACCGUAAAAGAGUGUUGAAAACGUAGAAUAAUAAUAUAAUAAAUAUAUAUUAAAUUAAAAACUAUAAUACACUGCAACAACGAAGAUUGUGACAGCACGUACACAACACUUGCUAAGCGGAUAUUUUGCGGUUAUUUUCAAAUUCACGAAACCAUUGCCAAAUUCUGCAGUAGAACGCCAGUCAACCAAAGCGUUUAACGCUAAAAAUUUAUCUAAUUUAGUCAACACAAACGCUUAGUAGUGCUCAAACAGUAGCCCUGAACACGCGUCUAACCAACUGAUUUGCAGUCAACCAUCACCGCUAAUAGCGCACAGAUUUAACCAACACAUACAUACCUGCUAGCAGCUCUAAAUCAUGAGGCAACAACAGUUACUUGCAAUCACCGCCUGCCUAUGCAGCGUUGCUGUAGUGCUCGUAUCCGCGGUGCCACUGCCUGCCGGCAACCAGGAAUUAGAUGUGUUACAGAUUCCGCUUUCUGAUGGCAAGGAAUUAGACGUUCUAACACUGGGCGCCAAAGAUCAAGAACAAAUAAUCGCUGAACGAAAUAAACGAACGAUUGGUCUACUGCGUGAACUGUUCCCAGAUAUCACAAAGCAAAUCGACGGCAUAGUUAAUCGUAUAAUAGGCCAGGUAAUACGCGUUGCCGGACCCAGUCUAUUGCCCGCUUUUCUAGGCAACAAUCGCCCCACAACAGAACGUUCCGACUUCGAUGCAGAUUUCGAGGACGAAGAUGAUACUAGCAAGGAGGAGAAUAAUAGUGUUUUCAGCAAGAGUGAUACCGCUACACCCACACAAGGCACUGCAACGUCCAAUGGUAGCUCCGAUAAUGGUGGUGCCUCACGUGUAAAUAUUGUCUUGCCAACUUUGCCAUCAGAUAAUGCUGCUGCAGAUAAUGUGAGUUUUCGGCAAGGCGCCAACAACAUAGCAACAACUAGCGUUACAACAUCAACAGCAACAACGACCGCAGCAGCAAUAAUGAAAACAACUGGAAAGACAGCUAUAACUAAAAGUCCAGAGAGUACAAUUGAAAUAACAACUGCAACUCCCAGUCGGCCAAUUGAAAUUCCCAAUACUCCAACUACUACCACAAUCACCACUGUCAGCGCAGUUGCUACGACAUUUCUACCUACAACCCCACCAACGAUCCCUACAUCAACAACAUUACCCACAACAACCAUUGAUUCCAUAUUUGUUAUACCGAGAGUUAAACCUCAGCGCCCAAAUAGUGCUGCUGACAAUAAGAGCAACAACAACAAUAAUAUUCCUAAUAUAACCACAACAUCCACAACUCAAAUUCAAACAGAAAAUCCCUUCACCACAAUCACUACACCUACAACAAACAGCCCAACCAUUACGUCUACAACAAAAUCAUCACCUAUCAACUCAUCCUUAAUUUCCGAUAUUUUGAAUACAAUCACACCAGGAACUAUUGCUGCCGAAACACUGCCAACACCAACAAUGCCAGCCACCUAUCUGGGGCGAUUUGAUGGUGAAGUAGGUAUGCAACAGUUCCUGAAUCCCAACACAAUACCUAAACAACAGCAACAACAACAAAAACAACAAACACCAAUACAAACAAAUGCGUUGCCGUUGGCUGUUGGUGUUGAUCGAUCACAGCUAGUUGCUUUAGUUGAGAAUAUAAAUCGUUUAUUGAACUCACCAAAUCUUCUCAUUACUAAUAGCAAUAAUAAUAUAAAUACACCACAAUUCACGACAACAGCAACAGCAACAACAACAACAGAUACAAUAAUAACAACAACAGCAACAACGCCUUUUCAAGCAGUUUCAACACAAUCACCGACGUUAAAUUCAGCUGAAAAAAUUACAAAACUUCUACCCGUGCGCAAUUAAUUGGAAAAAUUAAAAAUAAAUUACAAUAAAUUGUAGCAACAAAGUAUGUACCACGCCAAACACUACAUACAAUAUAAGCUCAUGGUAGCAACAACUAUUUGCAACUGCAGUUGGCAUAAAAAAAUUAAAACGAGCAUAUACUGGAAAUUUCCAUUAAGUAAUCGGCUAGAAUCUGAGUAUUCACAACAACUACAUUUUAACAACUACAGUCAACAAAAUCCAAAGUAGCAACAACGUAUGAAAUCUCGAGUAAUCAGUAACUGAGUAAAUGAGUAUCGCUUUAGUACACCAUGAAUGUCAAUUUCCUCUCAACGGCAAUAUCGUAAUGUAAUAUCAAUGGUGCAACAGACACACAAAUCGAUUUAACGGCCAUAAAUAAACAACUCGAGGAGACAAUACGUGUGGCACGUCAAGUGAAGGAAGCUGAAGCAGCAGCACAAGCUAUUG